Molecule: signal recognition particle RNA, 298 nt
Filed under: Cebus imitator (Panamanian white-faced capuchin)
Lineage: Eukaryota; Metazoa; Chordata; Mammalia; Primates; Cebidae
Description: Metazoan signal recognition particle RNA (ENSCCAG00000012261.1)
Rfam family: Metazoan signal recognition particle RNA
About the family: The signal recognition particle (SRP) is a universally conserved ribonucleoprotein. It is involved in the co-translational targeting of proteins to membranes.
Source: RNAcentral
GCCAGGCGUGGUGGUGUGUGCCUGUAGUCCCAGCUACUGGAGAGGCUGAGGUGAGAGGAUCGCUUGAGUCCAGGAGUUCUGGGCUGUAGUGCACUAUGCCGAUCAGGUGUCCGCACUAAGUUCGGCAUCAACAUGGUGACCUCCUGGGAGCAGGGAACCACCAGGUUGCCUAAGGAGGGGUGAACCGGCCCAGGUUGGAAAGGGAACAGGUCAAAACUCCCGUGCUGAUCAGUAGUGGAAUUGAGCCUGUGAAUAGCCACUGCACUCCAGCCUGGCAACAUAGCAAGACCCCAUCUCU